Molecule: non-coding RNA, 44 nt
Filed under: Schistosoma mansoni
Lineage: Eukaryota; Metazoa; Platyhelminthes; Trematoda; Strigeidida; Schistosomatidae
Source: RNAcentral
AGCAGCUGAAGAGUCCUAAAUACGACGAAACGCGCGUCCUGAAU